GCAGUAGCCACGGUAAUACGUAGGGUGCGAGCGUUGUCCGGAAUUACUGGGCGUAAAGAGCUCGUAGGCGGUUUGUCGCGUCGUCUGUGAAAUUCUGCAGCUUAACUGUAGGCGUGCAGGCGAUACGGGCAGACUUGAGUACUACAGGGGAGACUGGAAUUCCUGGUGUAGCGGUGAAAUGCGCAGAUAUCAGGAGGAACACCGGUGGCGAAGGCGGGUCUCUGGGUAGUAACUGACGCUGAGGAGCGAAAGCGUGGGUAGCGAACAGGAUUAGAUACCCCAGUAGUCCCUGUCUCUUAUAA
This 302-nucleotide ribosomal RNA is filed under the name uncultured bacterium. RNAcentral describes it as "partial 16S ribosomal RNA". It matches the Rfam family "Bacterial small subunit ribosomal RNA", at positions 508 to 809 of the family's 1533-position model. The record is from RNAcentral.